GUUUGAGUGGCUAUUUAAAUUCCAGGCGCUCGUCGAUCAAGGUGACGCGCGUCGCCGCUAAUGUAUUGGCCGAGCAAACAAUGAGCUGGG
Molecule: non-coding RNA, 90 nt
Organism: Xyrichtys novacula (pearly razorfish)
Lineage: Eukaryota; Metazoa; Chordata; Actinopteri; Labriformes; Labridae
Source: the annotation of a GenBank genome assembly